UAAGGCCUUAGCUUANAUAAAGUGGCUGAGUUGCAAUUAGUAAAUGUAGGUUUUAGUCCUGCAGGUCUU
RNAcentral lists this transfer RNA (69 nucleotides) under Pachydactylus mclachlani. Its description in RNAcentral is "tRNA-Ala". It matches the Rfam family "tRNA". Rfam says of the family: Transfer RNA (tRNA) molecules are approximately 80 nucleotides in length. Their secondary structure includes four short double-helical elements and three loops (D, anti-codon, and T loops). The record is from RNAcentral. Lineage: Eukaryota; Metazoa; Chordata; Lepidosauria; Squamata; Gekkonidae.